GCUCGACCCAGCCCGGUAUCGUACGCUGCGGUACGAGAGCACCCAGAACGCGUUUCAGAUACGACUAUCCCAGAGAACAGCCCAAAGGGUCCAAUGCGGAGAUAGUCCUAACCCUACUGACAUGAACAAGACGAAACGAGUGAAACAAGAACAGUUGUUACAAGAACAAUUGUAGCUUACUUGCAUUUCAGUCACCACUUGUCUGUCAAACAGCAAAAGGUUCGGACACGCGAUAAGCUAUAGGGGUGUGUAAAAAGGACCUGUCCGAAGGCGGCCAGGCCACAUAAUAUCAGUGUUAUU
This 300-nucleotide unclassified non-coding RNA is filed under the name Yarrowia lipolytica. Lineage: Eukaryota; Fungi; Ascomycota; Dipodascomycetes; Dipodascales. The record is from RNAcentral.